Molecule: ribosomal RNA, 27 nt
Filed under: Ramaria sp. 4 AK-2012
Lineage: Eukaryota; Fungi; Basidiomycota; Agaricomycetes; Gomphales; Gomphaceae
Description: partial 18S ribosomal RNA
Source: RNAcentral
UCUGUUUGGGGACUGCGGACGACAUUA